GACUGGGAAAGCUGGAGCAGGCCUGAAUAACUACCUCAGGUGUGUUAAUUGGCUGAAUGCACUGUGUGACUGACUGUCACUCUAACCAAUGGAGCAGCAAAGGCAGGAUUAAGGGUAGUUGUUUACCCUGGGUUACAUUAAGCCUGCAAUUAAUCUGUUAGGUGUUGCAUAGACAAUUUGAGAUUUGGCGACUGCAGGACUUUCAUCACCAACAUUAUCUUCUUUUUCCAUUUACUUAAUUUUUCUGCCAUACUUCUUCCUCCCAUCAAUAUUAUCCUGUCUAAAGUUUUGUUUCCAUUGCCCAUUGAUCUUUCAUCAUGUAAUGUCACCAUAAUGAAAUAAAAUCUAAGUUUUCCAGAUCUGACACAGCACAUGUAAUUCUGGUCAGAGAUUUACAUUGUCUUAUCAAAGCAUGGGAUUUAAAUAGUUCUCUAAAACUGCAAUGAAAUAAAGAAAACAAGAAUUGGACAAACAAAUUCUAAUUUGAUAUGAAUUUUAUCCAAUACAGAGUUCUCAUGUGACUUCACACUUCCGUGAACUUUGUAACUGACAGCUAUCUUGACAGGCUGUGGAGUUUCUAUGACGGCAAUAAACAAGCCAGAGCUCACCUAGUUCCUAUUUAACCUAAUAUAAACAAUAUAAGUUCAUUACAACUGCUUGAGUACUCUACCCACCUGUGACAAAUAUCAGUAAUAUUUACUGUAGUUCUUACUGCCGAACUAGCAAAACAAGCUUAGUUAAUAUAACUGGGUGCACUAUGCAUUGUGCAUGGGGUAAGCAUAGCGUGCAUCCUUACCAGGUGUAAGUAGAGGGACCUUAAGGCAGACUUACCAUACAUAGUAAGAUGACACAAUCACUCUGGUUCAAACUUGUGGGAACUAUGUAUAGAGGGAUUAUUUAUUUGUAAACACAGUAGCUGUGUGUGCAACUUGACUGCAGAAAGAGGAGACUGGCUUUUACAUCCCUACUGGUUGCCAUGGUUACCCACAUUUAUCUUGCUGUUUUAACAUUAGGUAGCAUGUCGGCGUACUACAGCUGCUGGUCACAGCAUGAUAAGUUAUGCUACCUAAUUGACAUUAGUGACCCAUUAAUGACCUCACACAUUACAUCAGUGUUUCUCAAUUAUUUUCUGUUAUGCCCCUUCAGGAACCAUCAUUUUUUUUCACGUGCUUUAUUGUUAAUUUUGCAUUAACAAUAAAAAGAUGGGUUUCAUCUAUUUCCUGGCCUUUUCCUGUGAGCUACAGUUACUUGCUUAUGAUUGAAUAUAAAGACCAGGCUGAGUUUUUGAUUUGGGUUUUAAAUACGAGUAAAGUUGGGUGAGAAUAAAGUCAUAAUUUUAUAACUUUUCACCACACUGCACUAAAUUGCUGAAUACUAGGGGUCUUAUAAGGUUAUAGUUGGCACUGGUUUAGCUAAUUGCUAAAUGCUAAAUGUUUUAGCAAAUCAGAAGCAAAUUUUCAGCCCCAGGACUUUAAAACGACUGCUUAAACAACUUUUUAUUUAAUAGAACAAGACCUGCUGGUUACUGUUGGAUUUAGACAAAUAAAAUGUUAAACUUCUUUGCUCGUUGUUUUCCUCUAGUCUCCCGAGUCCAGGGUUCUGCAUGUACACAGUGGAAAACACACAGAGAACAAGAAUUCACCAUUCGACUUCAGACAUAUCCAGAGUUUUAUUCAGACAGUUAAAUGCACAGAAAAACAGAUCAGCAUCACACCCAAAACAAGAAGUCCAAACCACAAAACAGACAUUAAGUACCUGAGAAAAGUAGAAAAAUGAACAAAAUACAAAAAUAAGAGAAAAGCAAAGGUGCCUUUGGGAACUGCUCAUGCGGCUGGAAAACGAAGCAAUUCAGCUUGCUGCUGAGAAGUGGAGACUUUUAUUAAGAGGUGUCGUCCUAAUUUUAAUAUAUGCAUUGAAGGUGUGUCCUCUCCUUCUAAACCUCUAAGCAGUUUCAAGUUACUUAGAUGGGUGAACCAAUAAUUUUGUUGCCUUCUUUGAAACCUAUUCAAAAUCAAAGAUAGAGAGAGAGAACAAAGGUCACUCAAAACAGGAUGUCUCAUGCCAGUUACAUCUGUUAUCUCUCCCAGUUCCUCCCUUUCUAAACAAAGUUGUUUAUCUUAUACAUAAAUUAUAUAUGUAAGGUUUCCAAAAUACCCAAUUUUGUUUUAUUUGCAGAUGACAUAAACAUUUUUUGUACAAAUGAAACUUUAUGGCAGCUUUUGCUAGAAAUGAAUUUAGUUAUGUAAACUGAAAACGUGGUUUGAUAUUCCAAAUUAUCACUAAAUUUAGAUAAAACCAAGUUUAUAUUAUUUGGGAAUUGUAAAGGGCAUAGCGAUUUACAAAUAAUAAUUGAUAAUGUGACUGUGGAGAGAGUGACUGAAAUUUGGUUUUUGGGAGUAUUGAUUCAUAAGAUCUGUUGGAAACCUCAUAUUAAAUAUAUUCAAUCUAAAAUGGCUAGAAGUAUUGCAGUUCUCUCUAAUGCUAGAAAAUUUUUAAACUCCUCUGCCCUUCAUAUCUUUUACUGUUCACUUAUUUUGCCAUAUCCAAGUUACUGUGUGGAAGUUUGGGGCAACACUUACAAAACUUCACUUCAACCACUACGCACGUUACAGAAAAGAGCCAUUCAAAUAGUUCACAAGGUUGAUUUUUAUUGUCAGACCAACAAUUUAUUGAUAGAUUCUCAUUUCCUGAAACUCCCAGAUUUGGUAGAGUUUCAAAUUGCACAGUUUAUGUAUAAAGUUAGAAACAAACUAUUACCAGAAAAUAUUCAAAAAAGAGAAAACCUCAACUUCAGAACUUUGAAUGUUCGAACAAUGAAAAGAAUGUGCAUAUCUGUCAUUGAUGUGAAGAUCUGGAAUAAACUCACUAAAGAGCUGAAGCAAAGUCCAAGCAUGAGGUAUUUUAAGAAAAGACUCAAAAUGGUUAUUCAAAAGUAUAAGGAUGAACAUGGGUGAUGAAUUUGGCUGGGAAUUACUGCAUUGUGGAUGACUUGGGCAAUUGGGUGUAGGUUUGUGUGUGUAAAUGUAUGUUGCUGUGUAAAUAGGUAUAUAUUAUUUAUGUAUAUAUGCAGAUAGAUGCAUAUGUACUGUAUAUGUGUGCGUGUAAAGAAUUACUGUCAUCUGGUUCAGGAAAUAUUACUAUAGUCAUUAUUAUUUAUUAUUAUUGUUGUUUAUUAUUAUUGUUUUAUUAUGUUAUUACUGUGGAUAUAUUAUGUUGGAAAGGAUACUUGAAACAGGAAUACUAUGCUAUGAAUUAAUGAAUGGAAAAGGGGUAUGAUUAUAUAAAUUAAACUUCAUCAUACUCCUUUUCAGACUCAGUCACUGAAUAAGUGGUGUAUUUGAGUAUGUACAGUACAGACCAAAAGUUUGGACACACCUUUUCAUUCAAAGAGUUUUCUUCAUUUUCAUGACUAUGAAAAUUGUAGAUUCACACUGAAGGCAUCAAAACUAUAAAUUAACACAUGUGGAAUUAUAUACUUAACAAAAAUGUGUGAAACAACUGGAAAUAUGUCAUAUAUUCUAGGUUCUUCAAAGUAGCCACCUUUUGCUUUGAUUACUGCUUGGCACACUCUUGGCAUUCUCUUGAUGAGCUUCAAGAGGUCGUCACCUGAAAUGGUCUUCUAACAGUCUUGGAGGAGUUUCCAGAGAUGCUCAGCACUUGUUGGCCCUUUUGCCUUCACUCUGCGGUCCAGCUCACCCCAAACCAUCUCGAUUGGGUUCAGGUCCGGUGACUGUGGAGGCCAGGUCAUCUGGCGCAGCACCCCAUCACUCUCCUUCUUGGUCAAAUAGCCCUUACACAGCCUGGAGGUGUGUUUGGGGUCAUUGUCCUGUUGAAAAAUAAAUGAUGGUCCAACUAAACGCAAACCGGAUGGAAUAGCAUGUCGCUGCAAGAUGCUGUGGUAGCCAUGCUGGUUCAGUAUGCCUUCAAUUUUGAAUAAAUCCCCAACAGUGUCACCAGCAAAGCACCCCCACA
Poecilia latipinna (sailfin molly) is the source of this 3972-nucleotide long non-coding RNA. RefSeq lists it as uncharacterized. The record is from RefSeq and is a predicted model, not a curated record. The transcript is spliced from 2 exons. Lineage: Eukaryota; Metazoa; Chordata; Actinopteri; Cyprinodontiformes; Poeciliidae.